Non-coding RNA from Schistosoma haematobium, 45 nucleotides. The record is from Rfam. Lineage: Eukaryota; Metazoa; Platyhelminthes; Trematoda; Strigeidida; Schistosomatidae.
ACCCAGCUGACGAGUCCCAAAUAUGGGGAAACGCGCGUCCAGGAU